GGCUAUAUCUGUUUAGGCCUGCUUGUCUAUACUCACGAUGUGAAGAAUUUGGUCAAUGUUCCCACCCUAAAAUGUUCCUUUUUUUUUUUACGACAGUUGCAUACAUUUUUUCCAUGCUUAUAGUUUCAUAGUUCAACGUUUUGUUAUUGUGACAAGCAAAAUCAAACCAUCUACUCAGAAUUCAUAUCUUUAUUUAUUUUUAAUAGACCGAACUGAUUGCACAUAACAUAAUUUUUAACCGUUGUACAAUUGUAAAACACACAUUCUUCUUUCAAAACAUGCUAUAAAGAAUCUUAAAUAAAUAAAGCUGUAAUGCCAAAUGUCAAUAUGUACAAACGUGGUAGGCAACGUUACAAUUCUUAUAAGGCUACAAUAUAUACAUGGGAACAUAGCAACCAGCCCACAGGUUGCUCACAGCAACUACAUGUUAGCCAAAGUUGACACAUACUAUUUGGAUUAAGUGCCCCAAAUGACGAUGGUAAAAGUCUGCAAAGAUGAUGGGGAGACCAGGUAAUGUAGAGUCUAAUGGAUUCAAACUGCCAGUAUGGGUUGUUUGAUCAAUAACAAGCCUAAAUAAUAUCAAAUCCACAAUUUAAAAAAAGCAAGAGGCACAUCAAAAUAAGAGGUUCACAAAAACACAGAAUCAAACAGGGUGC
Long non-coding RNA from Osmerus eperlanus (European smelt), 656 nucleotides. RefSeq lists it as uncharacterized. NCBI's taxonomy places the organism in Eukaryota, Metazoa, Chordata, Actinopteri, Osmeriformes, Osmeridae. The transcript is spliced from 2 exons. The record is from RefSeq and is a predicted model, not a curated record.